Molecule: non-coding RNA, 73 nt
Organism: Brassica napus (rape)
Lineage: Eukaryota; Viridiplantae; Streptophyta; Magnoliopsida; Brassicales; Brassicaceae
Source: Rfam
GCCGUCUUAGCUCAGUGGUAGAGCGCGUGACUUUUAAUCCCGUGGCCGUGGGUUCGAUGCCCAACAGACGGCG